GGUUAACGGGGAGGAAGGUGGGGACGACGUCAAGUCAUCAUGGCCCUUACGCCUAGGGCUACACACGUACUACAAUGGCGCAUACAAAGGGCAGCGAUACCGCGAGGUGGAGCCAAAUCCCAAAAAGUGCGUCCCAGUCCGGAUUGCAGUCUGCAACUCGACUGCAUGAAGUUGGAAUCGCUAGUAAUUCGAGAUCAGCAUGCUCGGGUGAAUGCGUUCCCGGGCCUU
RNAcentral lists this ribosomal RNA (228 nucleotides) under uncultured Desulfovibrio sp. RNAcentral describes it as "partial 16S ribosomal RNA". It matches the Rfam family "Bacterial small subunit ribosomal RNA", at positions 1156 to 1382 of the family's 1533-position model. The record is from RNAcentral. Lineage: Bacteria; Pseudomonadati; Thermodesulfobacteriota; Desulfovibrionia; Desulfovibrionales; Desulfovibrionaceae.